UGGGGAAUAUUGCACAAUGGGCGAAAGCCUGAUGCAGCGACGCCGCGUGAGGGAUGACGGCCUUCGGGUUGUAAACCUCUUUCAGUAGGGACGAAGCGCAAGUGACGGUACCUGCAGAAGAAGCACCGGCUAACUACGUGCCAGCAGCCGCGGUAAUACGUAGGGUGCGAGCGUUGUCCGGAAUUACUGGGCGUAAAGAGCUCGUAGGCGGUUUGUCACGUCGUCUGUGAAAUCCUAGGGCUUAACCCUGGACGUGCAGGCGAUACGGGCUGACUUGAGUACUACAGGGGAGACUGGAAUUUCUGGUGUAGCGGUGGAGUGCACAGGUAUCAGGAAGAACACCGAUGGCGAAGGCAGGUCUCUGGGUAGUAACUGACGCUGAGGAGCGAAAGCAUGGGUAGCGAACAGG
RNAcentral lists this ribosomal RNA (409 nucleotides) under bacterium. RNAcentral describes it as "partial 16S ribosomal RNA". It matches the Rfam family "Bacterial small subunit ribosomal RNA", at positions 355 to 776 of the family's 1533-position model. The record is from RNAcentral.